GAGCAACGCCGCGUGAGUGAUGAAGGCUUUCGGGUCGUAAAACUCUGUUGUUAGGGAAGAACAAGUGCUAGUUGAAUAAGCUGGCACCUUGACGGUACCUAACCAGAAAGCCACGGCUAACUACGUGCCAGCAGCCGCGGUAAUACGUAGGUGGCAAGCGUUAUCCGGAAUUAUUGGGCGUAAAGCGCGCGCAGGUGGUUUCUUAAGUCUGAUGUGAAAGCCCACGGCUCAACCGUGGAGGGUCAUUGGAAACUGGGAGACUUGAGUGCAGAAGAGGAAAGUGGAAUUCCAUGUGUAGCGGUGAAAUGCGUAGAGAUAUGGAGGAACACCAGUGGCGAAGCGACUUUCUGGUCUGUAACUGACACUGAGGCGCGAAAGCGUGGGGAGCAAACAGGAUUAGAUACCCUGGUAGUCCACGCCGUAAACGAUGAGUG
This 434-nucleotide ribosomal RNA is filed under the name Bacillus mycoides. RNAcentral's name for it is "bacterial SSU rRNA". It matches the Rfam family "Bacterial small subunit ribosomal RNA", at positions 389 to 815 of the family's 1533-position model. Lineage: Bacteria; Bacillati; Bacillota; Bacilli; Caryophanales; Bacillaceae. The record is from RNAcentral.